GGGGGCGUUCCGGUUUCGACUAGAUAUUGGAAACGCUGGCUGCAUGUAGAGGUUGAUCGGUUGGCCUCUCAAAAAAGCCGUUCAAAACAAAUAAUUGCAGACUCUAACGAGCUCGCACUUGCUGCUUAAUUGACAGCAACGUUCCAAUCUUGAUGCCUGUUAGGGUGCGGGGCGACUACUUAGCAGGCUGGCGCAUCGAGUCGGGUAUCCGGGCAAGAUCGUGAGAAUCCACAGGAUAAUCGGAAAGAUGAACGGGCUGAGCGAGGCUCAUCA
RNAcentral lists this transfer-messenger RNA (273 nucleotides) under Akkermansiaceae bacterium. RNAcentral describes it as "partial transfer-messenger RNA". It matches the Rfam family "transfer-messenger RNA", at positions 1 to 287 of the family's 374-position model. From Rfam's summary of the family: Bacterial tmRNA, also known as 10Sa RNA or SsrA, is named for its dual tRNA and mRNA-like properties. Its role is to liberate the mRNA from a stalled ribosome. The record is from RNAcentral. Lineage: Bacteria; Pseudomonadati; Verrucomicrobiota; Verrucomicrobiia; Verrucomicrobiales; Akkermansiaceae.